RNAcentral lists this ribosomal RNA (550 nucleotides) under Bacillus sp. (in: firmicutes). Its description in RNAcentral is "bacterial SSU rRNA". It matches the Rfam family "Bacterial small subunit ribosomal RNA", at positions 56 to 610 of the family's 1533-position model. The record is from RNAcentral. Lineage: Bacteria; Bacillati; Bacillota; Bacilli; Caryophanales; Bacillaceae.
UGCAGUCGAGCGACACUUCGGUGUUAGCGGCGGACGGGUGAGUAACACGUGGGCAACCUGCCUGUAGACUGGGAAACUUCGGAAACCGAGCUAAUACCGGAUAAUCCUUUUCCUCUCAUGAGGGAAAGCUGAAAGACGGUUUCGCUGUCACUUACAGAUGGGCCCGCGGCGCAUUAGCUAGUUGGUGAGGUAACGGCUCACCAAGGCGACGAUGCGUAGCCGACCUGAGAGGGUGAUCGGCCACACUGGGACUGAGACACGGCCCAGACUCCUACGGGAGGCAGCAGUAGGGAAUCUUCCACAAUGGACGAAAGUCUGAUGGAGCAACGCCGCGUGAGCGAUGAAGGCCUUCGGGUCGUAAAGCUCUGUUGUUAGGGAAGAACAAGUACCGGAGUAACUGCCGGUACCUUGACGGUACCUAACCAGAAAGCCACGGCUAACUACGUGCCAGCAGCCGCGGUAAUACGUAGGUGGCAAGCGUUGUCCGGAAUUAUUGGGCGUAAAGCGCGCGCAGGCGGUCCUUUAAGUCUGAUGUGAAAGCCCACGGCUC